CCUACGGGUGGCAGCAGUGAGGAAUAUUGGUCAAUGGACGAGAGUCUGAACCAGCCAAGUAGCGUGAAGGAUGACUGCCCUAUGGGUUGUAAACUUCUUUUAUAUGGGAAUAAAAUGUUCCACGUGUGGGAUUUUGUAUGUACCAUAUGAAUAAGGAUCGGCUAACUCCGUGCCAGCAGCCGCGGUAAUACGGAGGAUGCGAGCGUUAUCCGGAUUUAUUGGGUUUAAAGGGUGCGAAGGCGGAGGUGCAAGUCAGCGGUCAAAUUGCGGGGCUCAACCCCGUACUGCCGUUGAAACUGGAUCCCUUGAGUGCGCGAGAAGUAUGCGGAAUGCGUGGUGUAGCGGUGAAAUGCUUAGAUAUCACGAAGAACCCCGAUUGCGAAGGCAGUUCACUGGACUGCAACUGACACUGAGGCUCGAAAGUGUGGGUAUCAAACAGGAUUAGAUACCCUUGUAGUC
RNAcentral lists this ribosomal RNA (459 nucleotides) under uncultured bacterium. Its description in RNAcentral is "partial 16S ribosomal RNA". It matches the Rfam family "Bacterial small subunit ribosomal RNA", at positions 338 to 795 of the family's 1533-position model. The record is from RNAcentral.